This 615-nucleotide ribosomal RNA is filed under the name uncultured yeast. Its description in RNAcentral is "eukaryotic LSU rRNA". It matches the Rfam family "Eukaryotic large subunit ribosomal RNA", at positions 38 to 667 of the family's 3401-position model. Lineage: Eukaryota; Fungi. The record is from RNAcentral.
GCAUAUCAAUAAGCGGAGGAAAAGAAACCAACCGGGAUUGCCUUAGUAACGGCGAGUGAAGCGGCAAAAGCUCAAAUUUGAAAUCUGGUACCUUCGGUGCCCGAGUUGUAAUUUGGAGAGGGCAGCUUUGGGGCCGUUCCUUGUCUAUGUUCCUUGGAACAGGACGUCAUAGAGGGUGAGAAUCCCGUGUGGCGAGGAGUGCGGUUCUUUGUAAAGUGCCUUCGAAGAGUCGAGUUGUUUGGGAAUGCAGCUCUAAGUGGGUGGUAAAUUCCAUCUAAAGCUAAAUAUUGGCGAGAGACCGAUAGCGAACAAGUACAGUGAUGGAAAGAUGAAAAGAACUUUGAAAAGAGAGUGAAAAAGUACGUGAAAUUGUUGAAAGGGAAGGGCAUUUGAUCAGACAUGGUGUUUUGUGCCCUCUGCUCCUUGUGGGUAGGGGAAUCUCGCAUUUCACUGGGCCAGCAUCAGUUUUGGUGGCAGGAUAAAUCCAUAGGAAUGUAGCUUGCCUCGGUAAGUAUUAUAGCCUGUGGGAAUACUGCCAGCUGGGACUGAGGACUGCGACGUAAGUCAAGGAUGCUGGCAUAAUGGUUAUAUGCCGCCCGUCUUGAAACACGGACC